CCCACUGAACUUUAAACCUAAUUCUGUUUCUCUCCACAGAUUCUGUCAGACCUGCUGAUUUUCUUCAACAUUUUGUUUAACCUAAUUUCCCACUUAUGCAAUAAUGGCUAUGGCUAACUUUGAAGACCAAUGUCACUCAGGAAUUUUCCCUUCCCACAUUAUGAGUGACUAGAACUAUAUCGUUCAAAUUUGUUUGAAGGUAAUACAGAGGCCAGGAUGAAUGACCUACGGACAGGAGUUCAAAUUCCACCAUGGCAAUGGGAAAUUUAAAUUCUGUUCACUUCAUAACUAAGUACACGAAGUUGGUCUCUUUAACAAUGAUGGCAAUACUGUCAUGAUAUAAUGUAAACAUCCAGGUUACUUUGGAACUGUCUGAAGUCUUCAGCUGCAACUCAGUUUGGAGGCAUUUGCAAUGGGCCCUUGUCAGACAUGAAAGUUUCGCAGACAAUUCCUAAACAGGCCAUUGCGUGUGGACCUCCCUUGGGUCGUAAAACACCUCUCCAGUCACAAGUCUGGUCUCCAAUGGUCUAGAGCCUGGAAGAUUUGGGCCCUCAUCCAGGGCUUGCAAGGAUUAAUUGAGCGAUCAAAUCGACUUCUGCUAAUUAUACGGUAUUUCAAACUUCACCAUGGAUUUCAGCCCCUCAAAACUAGUGCCCCUGUAAUAGUCGACCCUAUAAAUUGAACCUUUAAAAAUCGUCUUUAAAAAAAAAUCAACAUUUACACGAGUAUAUACGGUAAUUUACAGCAAGCCAGAUACAACGGAACCAUGAAUGACAACAUGCUCCAAGCAUGAAGUUGAGAGAGACCGAGUGACAUAACAUUUGACAUGUCUAAGCAGACAUCAUUAAAUACAAUGGAAUGUUGAAUGAUAUGCCUCACAUGGAAUACAUAUCCCAGAAGGUUGAGAUAACAUCUUACAAAGUCUGAGGCAUAGGAGCCUGUCCUAAUGGAUUUCUGCACCUCAAGUUCAGUUACUCUUAAUACAAUUACCAAACAAAAAGACAUUGAUUUCAAUCUUGAAAGGUUAGUGGUACCAGCAACCAUGGCUUUUCUGGCAGAGUGAAGGAGACAAAGAUUUAGGGAUCAAAAUGUUUCAGAUUUCCUCUUUCUGUGUGAAGUACUUCUCCCCGAUUUCACUCUGAACUGGUCCAGUUAUAACUUUUUAAGGUUGCAUUCCUAGUUCUGAGCUCCCCCACCAAAGAAAAUAUUUUUUAAAAAAAUCUACCUGUCCCACUAAAAUCUCUCAGAAAUACAAAUCAAGAUCCGCAUGUCACAUUCAUGAUUCAACUCUGAGCCUUGGCAUCAUUCUGCACAAACCCUUCCAUAGGCCAGCGUACUUCCUAACUGGUGGUGUCCUAACCUGUACAUAGCAACCCAGAAAGAUCUGAUCAAUACAUUGUAUAACUGAACCACACAAAACCCUUUGUAUUCCAGUAUUCUGUGAUAGAGGCAAAUAUUCCAGUAGCAAGUUAAGAUUGCUUUUUGAACUGGAGCAGAGACUUUUAAUUACUGUA
Molecule: non-coding RNA, 1514 nt
Organism: Chiloscyllium plagiosum (whitespotted bambooshark)
Lineage: Eukaryota; Metazoa; Chordata; Chondrichthyes; Orectolobiformes; Hemiscylliidae
Source: RefSeq, a predicted model, not a curated record